Molecule: ribosomal RNA, 492 nt
Filed under: uncultured bacterium
Lineage: Bacteria
Description: partial 16S ribosomal RNA
Rfam family: Bacterial small subunit ribosomal RNA
Source: RNAcentral
AGUGAACGCUGGCGGUAGGCCUAACACAUGCAAGUCGAACGGCAGCACAGUAAGAGCUUGCUCUUACGGGUGGCGAGUGGCGGACGGGUGAGGAAUACAUCGGAAUCUACUUUUUCGUGGGGGAUAACGUAGGGAAACUUACGCUCAUACCGCAUACGACCUACGGGUGAAAGCAGGGGAUCUUCGGACCUUGCGCGAUUGAAUGAGCCGAUGUUGGAUUAGCUAGUUGGCGGGGUAAAGGCCCACCAAGGCGACGAUCCGUAGCUGGUCUGAGAGGAUGAUCGGCCACACUGGAACUGAGACACGGUCCAGGCUCCUACGGGAGGCAGCAGUGGGGAAUAUUGGACAAUGGGCGCAAGCCUGAUCCAGCCAUACCGCGUGGGUGAAGAAGGCCUUCGGGUUGUAAAGCCCUUUUGUUGGGAAAGAAAAGCAGCAGGUUAAUACCCCGCUGUUCUGACGGUACCCAAAGAGUAAGCACCGGCUAACUUCGUG